This 533-nucleotide ribosomal RNA is filed under the name Alteromonas sp. Its description in RNAcentral is "bacterial SSU rRNA". It matches the Rfam family "Bacterial small subunit ribosomal RNA", at positions 380 to 905 of the family's 1533-position model. The record is from RNAcentral. Lineage: Bacteria; Pseudomonadati; Pseudomonadota; Gammaproteobacteria; Alteromonadales; Alteromonadaceae.
GACCUGAUGCAGCCAUGCCGCGUGUGUGAAGAAGGCCUUCGGGUUGUAAAGCACUUUCAGUUGUGAGGAAAAGUUAGUAGUUAAUACCUGCUAGCCGUGACGUUAACAACAGAAGAAGCACCGGCUAACUCCGUGCCAGCAGCCGCGGUAAUACGGAGGGUGCGAGCGUUAAUCGGAAUUACUGGGCGUAAAGCGCACGCAGGCGGUUUGUUAAGCUAGAUGUGAAAGCCCCGGGCUCAACCUGGGAUGGUCAUUUAGAACUGGCAGACUAGAGUCUUGGAGAGGGGAGUGGAAUUCCAGGUGUAGCGGUGAAAUGCGUAGAUAUCUGGAGGAACAUCAGUGGCGAAGGCGACUCCCUGGCCAAAGACUGACGCUCAUGUGCGAAAGUGUGGGUAGCGAACAGGAUUAGAUACCCUGGUAGUCCACACCGUAAACGCUGUCUACUAGCUGUGUGUGUCUUUAAGACGUGCGUAGCGAAGCUAACGCGCUAAGUAGACCGCCUGGGGAGUACGGCCGCAAGGUUAAAACUCAAA